Molecule: ribosomal RNA, 468 nt
Filed under: uncultured bacterium
Lineage: Bacteria
Description: partial 16S ribosomal RNA
Rfam family: Bacterial small subunit ribosomal RNA
Source: RNAcentral
GACGAAUGCUGGCGGCGUGCUUAACACAUGCAAGUCGAACGGAAAGGCCCUGCUUUUGUGGGGUGCUCGAGUGGCGAACGGGUGAGUAACACGUGAGUAACCUGCCCUUGACUUUGGGAUAACUUCAGGAAACUGGGGCUAAUACCGGAUAGGAGCUCCUGCUGCAUGGUGGGGGUUGGAAAGUUUCGGCGGUUGGGGAUGGACUCGCGGCUUAUCAGCUUGUUGGUGGGGUAGUGGCUUACCAAGGCUUUGACGGGUAGCCGGCCUGAGAGGGUGACCGGCCACAUUGGGACUGAGAUACGGCCCAGACUCCUACGGGAGGCAGCAGUGGGGAAUAUUGCACAAUGGGCGGAAGCCUGAUGCAGCAACGCAGCGUGCGGGAUGACGGCCUUCGGGUUGUAAACCGCUUUCGCCUGUGACGAAGCGUGAGUGACGGUAAUGGGUAAAGAAGCACCGGCUAACUACGUG